ACGUUGAGCUGUCGGUAAACAGUCCACGAAGAAGAAGUCUCUCCUCCUCUUGCUUCGUGCUAAAGUGACCUCUGUUGCUAACAGCUGUAAAACAAUGGCUCCUCCUGUGGCAGUGUCGCCUUUGAUUAAGACUGCCAGGUACUCUGCUUUAAUAGCAGGCCUCUUGUAUGGUAAAAUGAGAUAUGAUUACCUGAAACCCAUCGCGGCCGAAGAAAGGAGGAUCGAGGAGGAGGAGAAAAAGAUCCGUGAGGAGCAGGAGCGCAUAGCUAAGGAACUAGCAGAAGCAAAUGAAGACACCAUUCUGAAGUAAAUGUUUUGAAGAUGUUCUUGUACCCCUGAAAUGACCAACCUCUUCCUCUUUUUCUGGAGUAAUAAAGACAGUCAGACACUUCUAUUUUGUGGAAGUGCUUACUGUCGAGGCCGAUGCAACACCCCUCUGGAUUGUUGAUGUUAUUUUGUUAAUCUCAGAAUGCAAAAUUUGCUUCUUAUUCAGCAUUGUACAGCUACAUAUGCACUCAGAACUUGUGUUUAUAAUGAAGCAAAGUGAUCAAUACAGAAAAUUAUGACCCCUGUAGUCCUUGUUUUUAUCAACGUGACAUUUAUUGCCCUCCCUCAGAAAGCCACAUUAGGUUUG
This is a long non-coding RNA of Nematolebias whitei (Rio pearlfish), 634 nucleotides long. RefSeq lists it as uncharacterized. Lineage: Eukaryota; Metazoa; Chordata; Actinopteri; Cyprinodontiformes; Rivulidae. The record is from RefSeq and is a predicted model, not a curated record. The transcript is spliced from 4 exons.